GGGCGCGAAGACUAGGUUUCGACGCAGCAAAAAGCCAAAGUGCAGUGCUGCGGAGCCGGGUUCGAUUCCCGGCGCGUCCACCA
This 83-nucleotide small RNA is filed under the name Tepidimicrobium sp. RNAcentral's name for it is "transfer-messenger RNA". It matches the Rfam family "transfer-messenger RNA". From Rfam's summary of the family: Bacterial tmRNA, also known as 10Sa RNA or SsrA, is named for its dual tRNA and mRNA-like properties. Its role is to liberate the mRNA from a stalled ribosome. Lineage: Bacteria; Bacillati; Bacillota; Tissierellia; Tissierellales; Tepidimicrobiaceae. The record is from RNAcentral.